This 429-nucleotide ribosomal RNA is filed under the name Gemmatimonadota bacterium. Its description in RNAcentral is "Gemmatimonadetes bacterium partial 16S ribosomal RNA". It matches the Rfam family "Bacterial small subunit ribosomal RNA", at positions 355 to 776 of the family's 1533-position model. The record is from RNAcentral. Lineage: Bacteria; Pseudomonadati; Gemmatimonadota.
UAGGGAAUCUUCGGCAAUGGACGAAAGUCUGACCGAGCAACGCCGCGUGAGUGAAGAAGGUUUUCGGAUCGUAAAACUCUGUUGUUAGAGAAGAACAAGGACGUUAGUAACUGAACGUCCCCUGACGGUAUCUAACCAGAAAGCCACGGCUAACUACGUGCCAGCAGCCGCGGUAAUACGUAGGUGGCACGCGUUGUCCGGAUUUAUUGGGCGUAAAGCGAGCGCAGGCGGUUUCUUAAGUCUGAGGUGAAAGCCCCCGGCUCAACCGGGGAGGGUCAUUGGAAACUGGGAGACUUGAGUGCAGAAGAGGAUAGUGGAAUUCCAUGUGUAGCGGUGAAAUGCGUAGAUAUAUGGAGGAACACCAGUGGCGAAGGCGGCUCUCUGGUCUGUAACUGACGCUGAGGCUCGAAAGCGUGGGGAGCAAACAGG